AAAAACAAACAUAUCAAAAAAAUAAAAGUAAAAAAAGAAAGAAAGAAAGGGAGAGAAAAAACAAUCAGUACUGUUUUUUUUAGAAAUGUAGUAUUUCAAAUAUUCAUCUGUGAUAACUGCUACAACCAGAAGCACAUCGCUAACAUGGAUCUUCACGCUUAUUCUGCUUCGUUUUUCAGAAGGAUAAAAAGUAAUCGCCUUCAUUCCAAAACAAUGUAUUAAGUACUCAGAAUCAGGAGGGGCUAGCAGAGAUGUAAGACACGGCAUUUGUUCUUAAGAAGCUCGCAGUGGUAAAGGUGGAACACACGUUCGGGCACAUAUUUCUGCUACAAGGUGACAAAAGAACUGUGACUGAAGGGACACUGGUGGUGAGAUGUGGUCAGAGCAGUAGCAGCCACCUGAAAGCUGGAUGUUUGUAACUUACAGCCUCAACAUAUGUUAACAUUCAAGAGUAAUUGUCCUACUAUAUUUAGUAUUUACUGGCCUGACCCUUAAUUAACAAUUCCAUCCAAUUUGGAGAACUACAAAAUUGUGAGGUAUAGAAAACUUGGACGGAGUUUUGACAAGAACACUGAGAAAUGUUUGAAUUCAAUAGAGAUGACCCUGGGAGCCUUUGAGAGACAAUGGCCAAGGAAACAGAGCAGCUGGAUACUGGUACUUUCAAGCACCUCAUAGGAAGGUGUCUUCCUCUGUACAGAAGGGCCACAGUCAUUCGCCCUUCCAGAGCAGCUGGAGGACAGUCUGAAUUGAACACUUGCUUCAAGAAAGGUUUUCCUGUUUCAUAACAUUUAUAAGGGAUGCCCUGAAGAACUUUCUGCCACUUCUAUUUUCCUAUCAUAUUUGCUUUAGCAAUAUACAACCAGUAACCAAGAGGAAGUAGGACACUACAAAUAAGUAACAGGUCACUCAUCAAUCAACACCCACUGGAUAGCUAACUCUGUACAACCACCAGAUGAGGCCAGGCAGAGGAUCCAGAGAUGUCUACGACAUGGCUACCAGUCUUCUGGUGCUCCCCCACCAGCAGGGGACCAAGGUCAAUUAACUGUCCCAUCUGGCAUGGUAUUAGAGGUACUGUUAAGCAAGGCUAUAGGAAAAAUGCUUUGGUAUGGAAAGAAGAGAGGAAUUACUGCUCCAUAAACUGAAGUGGGAAGGGCAGAAUCUAGAUACGCAUAUAGAACAGACACAGGCAUUCUGAGCAGGAGGAAUAAAGUGGGCAAAGAAACAGCACCGUGGGGGCGAAAGAGACCAGAGAUUGUGUAGCCAAAUGGAGAAUUAAAAAAAGAAAGAGAGAAGAGUAGUUCUGUCAUCAAAAUGUCACUAAAAAUAAAAUGACAGUUUUCAGAAGUCAUGUGGGCCAUAAUAACAGUGAAGGCUAGUCAAUGACAGUCAUCUCUAAAGCUCUACACCCAAUUCACAAGCGACUGAUGCAUAAGCAGCUGACAGAGAAUAAUUCCUAAAGCUUCCUUUGUUUUUAUUUUCUCCCCAUGAAAGGGCUUCUUAGAAAUUCCAAAGGGAGAAUCAUUAAAUGGAUUACUGGUUCUUCUCUCCUAACCCAAAUAAAAAGGUAUGCCUGAAAACGGAA
This is a long non-coding RNA of Mustela lutreola (European mink), 1582 nucleotides long. RefSeq lists it as uncharacterized. The transcript has 2 exons. Lineage: Eukaryota; Metazoa; Chordata; Mammalia; Carnivora; Mustelidae. The record is from RefSeq and is a predicted model, not a curated record.